Long non-coding RNA from Suricata suricatta (meerkat), 664 nucleotides. RefSeq lists it as uncharacterized. The transcript is spliced from 2 exons. The record is from RefSeq and is a predicted model, not a curated record. NCBI's taxonomy places the organism in Eukaryota, Metazoa, Chordata, Mammalia, Carnivora, Herpestidae.
CUAGGGGGCUGGGCCCCCACGUGGGGAGUGGUGGGCGGAGUCUGCCCAAACCGGAUGAGCUGAGGAGGGCGCCUUCACCUCAUCUCUAGUGCGACAUGGCUUCGCCAUGUGAGAGAGCUGCCCAAGCCCGAAUCACCGCUCUCUAGCCCAGGAACUUCCCCUUGAUGGGUCCCGAAGGUCUCGGAGCAUCGCCUCUCCCCUCAUUUAUUGGGUUUAGGUAAAGGCACAGAGAUGGUGAAUGCCAGCAGCCUUUAAGAGGCAAAUGACAUCUUCCCUGUUAAAUUUAACUCCCUUUCUCGCCUCGCCCGGACUGGUUCUUUCUGAGCCCUGAGUGAGUACAACGUAGGCCUGUGCAACCUCUAAUGAUUCCAGAAGUGAUGCCCACGGCUGCUGGGGUGGCGCUGAGUGUCUGCACUGCUCUUCUUGGCGACCGAACCAUCAGGUGGUGAGCACUGAGAAAGGGGGGCCCAGCCUUACGGCCCUGAAUUCCAGGCUCUGUCCCCUCAAAUGCCGAUUUCCACACAGGAUUCCAGCUGCACCUUCCGUCUACGCCCACAGCACUGACAGGGCCACUAAUCAUUGUCCUCCCCAUCGGUGCUGGCCAUGAGUGGAGCCAUGCCUUUUUUGUUCCUUAGAGAUUAAAAAUUUAAACAGAAACCAAAAA